UGCGCAGGCGGUUUUGUAAGACAGGCGUGAAAUCCCCGGGCUCAACCUGGGAAUGGCGUUUGUGACUGCAAGGCUAGAGUAUGGCAGAGGGGGGUAGAAUUCCACGUGUAGCAGUGAAAUGCGUAGAGAUGUGGAGGAAUACCGACGGCGAAGGCAGCCCCCUGGGCCAAUACUGACGCUCAUGCACGAAAGCGUGGGGAGCAAACAGGAUUAGAUACCCUGGUAGUCCACGCCCUAAACGAUGUCAACUAGGUGUUGGGUGGGUAAAACCAUUUAGUACCGGAGCUAACGCGUGAAGUUGACCGCCUGGGGAGUACGGCCGCAAGGUUAAA
This 332-nucleotide ribosomal RNA is filed under the name uncultured bacterium. RNAcentral describes it as "bacterial SSU rRNA". It matches the Rfam family "Bacterial small subunit ribosomal RNA", at positions 568 to 898 of the family's 1533-position model. The record is from RNAcentral.